UGACCUUUCUCCUGUUCUUUUGGCAGUUCUUUUGUUUCUCUCUCCUCUAUUGUACUUUCUCUCUGUACCUUCAACUCUCUCUGUAAUUUGGGAGCCGGCGCCUUUCAAAGUACUUUCUAGUCGUUUCUCUUGUAUCGAAACGGGAUUUUCUUCUUCGCUCAUCAGUUUUUUGUUGUGAUUCUUUGAUUUUCAUCAUUGUUUGAGGUUGCUGCCCUGCCGCUGCUCCCCUGCCUGCCAAGGUUGCUGCUACUCCCCUGCCAGCCAAGGUUGUCGCUCCUACCCUGCUAGCUAAGGUUACUGCUGCUCCCCUACCAGCCAAGGUUUCUGCUUGUCAGGAUAGAAUAUUGUAGUACAGAGGCGAGAGUUAGAUUUUGGAGCAAUGAAACUGCUUUCGAUUCUUUUGUCUCUAAUAAUACUUUUGAGCUCAAUACUAGCCAUAUUCUUCGCCAGGAACUAGAGGUCAUUAUUUUAUUUUGUAACAAAUCGAAGAACGUAAAGUACAUUUUGGAUAAAUUUUUUAUCUUUAUUAUGUAUAGUGAGUAUUUUCAGUGAUUGAAAAUUUUAACUUUGUAUGUAUCAAUUUCCUUGUAGAACAAUAUAAAUAUUGUAGAUGUAAUUUUGAUUUCCUUGGAUUGAAGUUGGAGAAGCAUGUAAUACUUAAAAAUGCGUAUGAUUGUUAUUA
This is a long non-coding RNA of Chenopodium quinoa (quinoa), 682 nucleotides long. RefSeq lists it as uncharacterized. Lineage: Eukaryota; Viridiplantae; Streptophyta; Magnoliopsida; Caryophyllales; Amaranthaceae. The record is from RefSeq and is a predicted model, not a curated record. The transcript has 4 exons.